UACGUAGGCAGCAAGCGUUGUUCGGAAUUAUUGGGCGUAAAGGGUGCGUAGGCGGUUUGGUAAGUCUUAUGUGAAAUCUACAGGCUCAACUUGUAGUCUGCAUGAGAAACUGCCGGGCUUGAGUAUGGGAGAGGUGAGUGGAAUUCCUGGUGUAGCGGUGAAAUGCGUAGAUAUCAGGAGGAACACCUGUGGCGAAAGCGGCUCACUGGACCAUAACUGACGCUGAUGCACGAAAAGCUAGGGGGAGCAAACAGG
RNAcentral lists this ribosomal RNA (255 nucleotides) under uncultured bacterium. RNAcentral describes it as "partial 16S ribosomal RNA". It matches the Rfam family "Bacterial small subunit ribosomal RNA", at positions 524 to 776 of the family's 1533-position model. The record is from RNAcentral.